AAGGAUCAUUACCUUUCAAUGCAGCAGAAUUGCGAUGGUUGAGUAUCUCGCCUUUCGAUUCUGCCUGUAUUCUACCCUUGUUUCUCUUACACUAUUAUUUCCUCGGUAGGCUUGCCUACCGGGUGAAACCAUUUAUAACCUAUUUAAUUUUCAAUCAGCGUCUGAAAAAAUUAAUAAUUACAACUUUCAACAACGGAUCUCUUGGUUCUG
RNAcentral lists this unclassified non-coding RNA (210 nucleotides) under uncultured fungus. Its description in RNAcentral is "partial contains 18S rRNA, ITS1, 5.8S rRNA, ITS2 and 28S rRNA". Lineage: Eukaryota; Fungi. The record is from RNAcentral.